This is a long non-coding RNA of Beta vulgaris subsp. vulgaris (sugar beet), 1924 nucleotides long. RefSeq lists it as uncharacterized. Lineage: Eukaryota; Viridiplantae; Streptophyta; Magnoliopsida; Caryophyllales; Amaranthaceae. The transcript is spliced from 2 exons. The record is from RefSeq and is a predicted model, not a curated record.
CUACGCAAAUGCCUCCUAUGUUCAAUCGGAAGUUCUAUUCCUACUGGAAGAAUAGAAUGGAGAUAUUCAUCAAGGCCGAAAACUACCAUGUAUGGAUAGUUAAUGAAGUUGGUGAUUUUGAGGUCAUAACUACUAAUGACAAGAAUGAGGUAAUUCCUAAACCCUUUUCUGAAUAUGAUAAAGCUGAUUUUGAAAAAAUAGAAGUUAAUGUUAUGGCUGUUAAACUGUUGCAUUGUGGACUUGGACCCCAUGAACACAAUAGGAUCAUGGGAUGCAAAUCUACAAAAUAAAUAUGGGAUUUACUAGAAGUAAUCCAUGAAGGAACUAAUGAAGUCAAGAGAUCUAAAAUUGAUUUAGUAAUGAAUUAAUAUGAAAUAUUCUCCAUGAAGGCUAAGGAAAGCAAACAAGAGAUGUUUACUCGUUUUACUAACAUUAUUAAUGAGUUAGCCUCUCUUGGUAAGUUUAUUUCAUCAGAGGAACAUGUUCGAAAAGUUUUUAGGAGUCUUCUUAAGGAUAGAUGGAUGGAUAAGGUCACUGCUUUACAAGAAACAAACGACUUCACUAACUUCAACUUGGAACAGCCUGUUGGAUCACUUAUAACUCAUGAGCUUCACCUUGAUAAUUAGUAUGGUGAAAGCUCUAAGUCAAAGUCCAUUGCUCUCAAACCAGAUGAUGCAGAUGACUCUGACUCAGAAGAAGAGGAAGCAUAACUCAUGGUCUGACAAUUUCGAAAGAUGUAUAGGAACAUGGAGAAUGGGAACUUCAAAGGUAUCAUUGAAAGGAACAAAGAGAAUACUUAGUCAAGGAAGAAGUCAAGAGAUGAUUUCGAAGACUAAGUGAAGAUGUCUCUUUUAGUUGAUACUGGAGAAGCAUUGGAGCAAGAAGAAUAAAGCAAGGCGUUUUUAUUUUCUAGUUCCAUUGUAAAGGAACAAGUAAUGUUGGUAAGGAACAUUGGCAGUUUUAUUUGAGAAUGAUAGUUUUUUCCUUUGUAAGGAACAGACGAAUUGGCACUAAACAAAUCAGUUAAAGGAACUUAUGAAUAAAAGGAACUAGACUUAGGCUCGGAGCGAGCAUUAUAACGGUUCACUAAUGGAAGUUGAGUAAAUCUUGCCUAAAUAAUAGAUAACCGUUUUUAGUCUAAGAGAAAAUCUGUUUUUAUGGAAAAUCUUUUUAAGGAAAAGAUUUUGUUUUUCGAAAAAGAUAAGAAAAAUAUUAUUCGGUUUUUAAAGGAUUUUAUUUAAAAGAUAAUAUUUUCUUAAAGAUUUAAUUUUAGUUUUAAUAUUAAAUCUAUUUUAAAUUAAAACUGAUUUUCGGAUAAUGCUCAAGUAAUUCCUAUAUUCUAGGAGCAGUAACUAAAACAUGUCCACGUCCAAGCAGAGAUCAUGGGAUCAUGGGAUGUGUUAUGGAACGUGUUCCUUGAGGGAAGGAAUAUCAUGGGAUAAUGGUUUUUAACAUGUACACGAUUUUAAUUCCCACGUUCUAUAUUAUUGUCACUAUAAAUAUUGAAGUCUAAGUAAGUUCCAAAUUGUGUCUGACUAAGUAAUUAAGUGAGUUUAACUAAUUAAGUGUCAGUGCCUUCAUUCUCUCAUAAUAGCCAUUUGUUCUUUGCUUACUUACUCUAAUUCCACUAAGCUUAUUUCGAUCAAUUGUAUUUUGGUUUUUGGGGUAAGGGGACUUUGAGUGAAGUUCUGUAAGAGAGAAGCUUUGAGUAAAGCUAGUAAGAGUGAGAAAACUUCGAGUGAAGUUGAGAGGAACUGCUGUCAAGGGAACAGUGGCUCAGGAACUUGAGUUUAGGAACUCAAGGUGUGGCUCGAGAAUAGAAUUAGGUUAUAACAAAGUUGUUUGGCCUAAUUAGUAAAAGAGUUGAGUUUAAAAUCCCUAGUGGUCAAGGUUGUUUCUUCUUGUUGGGACCAAGAAGUUUUUC